UCCGCAUUAGUGUAGGGGUUAACAUACUCCGCUUUCAACAUUAGAAAGGCGCCGGAGAGCCCCGGGUUCGAUUCCCGGAUGCGGAA
Molecule: transfer RNA, 86 nt
Filed under: Blumeria graminis f. sp. tritici
Lineage: Eukaryota; Fungi; Ascomycota; Leotiomycetes; Helotiales; Erysiphaceae
Also listed under: 1 other name
Rfam family: tRNA
About the family: Transfer RNA (tRNA) molecules are approximately 80 nucleotides in length. Their secondary structure includes four short double-helical elements and three loops (D, anti-codon, and T loops).
Source: Rfam by way of RNAcentral